AGAACGAACGCUGGCGGCAUGCCUAACACAUGCAAGUCGAACGAGACCUUCGGGUCUAGUGGCGCACGGGUGCGUAACGCGUGGGAAUCUGCCCUUGGGUUCGGAAUAACAGCGAGAAAUUGCUGCUAAUACCGGAUGAUGACGUAAGUCCAAAGAUUUAUCGCCCAAGGAUGAGCCCGCGUAGGAUUAGCUUGUUGGUGAGGUAAGAGCUCACCAAGGCGACGAUCCUUAGCUGGUCUGAGAGGAUGAUCAGCCACACUGGGACUGAGACACGGCCCAGACUCCUACGGGAGGCAGCAGGUGGGGAAUAUUGGACAAGUGGG
This 323-nucleotide ribosomal RNA is filed under the name uncultured soil bacterium. RNAcentral's name for it is "bacterial SSU rRNA". It matches the Rfam family "Bacterial small subunit ribosomal RNA", at positions 26 to 376 of the family's 1533-position model. The record is from RNAcentral.